AAGCCAAGCUUGCUUGGUGGAUCAGUGGCGAACGGGUGAGUAACACGUGAGCAACCUGCCCUGGACUCUGGGAUAAGCGCUGGAAACGGCGUCUAAUACUGGAUAUGAGACGUGAUCGCAUGGUCGUGUUUGGAAAGAUUUUUCGGUCUGGGAUGGGCUCGCGGCCUAUCAGCUUGUUGGUGAGGUAAUGGCUCACCAAGGCGUCGACGGGUAGCCGGCCUGAGAGGGUGACCGGCCACACUGGGACUGAGACACGGCCCAGACUCCUACGGGAGGCAGCAGUGGGGAAUAUUGCACAAUGGGCGAAAGCCUGAUGCAGCAACGCCGCGUGAGGGAUGACGGCCUUCGGGUUGUAAACCUCUUUUAGCAGGGAAGAAGCGAAAGUGACGGUACCUGCAGAAAAAGCGCCGGCUAACUACGUGCCAGCAGCCGCGGUAAUACGUAGGGCGCAAGCGUUAUCCGGAAUUAUUGGGCGUAAAGAGCUCGUAGGCGGUUUGUCGCGUCUGCUGUGAAAUCCCGAGGCUCAACCUCGGGCCUGCAGUGGGUACGGGCAGACUAGAGUGCGGUAGGGGAGAUUGGAAUUCCUGGUGUAGCGGUGGAAUGCGCAGAUAUCAGGAGGAACACCGAUGGCGAAGGCAGAUCUCUGGGCCGUAACUGACGCUGAGGAGCGAAAGGGUGGGGAGCAAACAGGCUUAGAUACCCUGGUAGUCCACCCCGUAAACGUUGGGAACUAGUUGUGGGGACCAUUCCACGGUUUCCGUGACGCAGCUAACGCAUUAAGUUCCCCGCCUGGGGAGUACGGCCGCAAGGCUAAAACUCAAAGGAAUUGACGGGGACCCGCACAAGCGGCGGAGCAUGCGGAUUAAUUCGAUGCAACGCGAAGAACCUUACCAAGGCUUGACAUAUACGAGAACGGGCCAGAAAUGGUCAACUCUUUGGACACUCGUAAACAGGUGGUGCAUGGUUGUCGUCAGCUCGUGUCGUGAGAUGUUGGGUUAAGUCCCGCAACGAGCGCAACCCUCGUUCUAUGUUGCCAGCACGUAAUGGUGGGAACUCAUGGGAUACUGCCGGGGUCAACUCGGAGGAAGGUGGGGAUGACGUCAAAUCAUCAUGCCCCUUAUGUCUUGGGCUUCACGCAUGCUACAAUGGCCGGUACAAAGGGCUGCAAUACCGUGAGGUGGAGCGAAUCCCAAAAAGCCGGUCCCAGUUCGGAUUGAGGUCUGCAACUCGACCUCAUGAAGU
RNAcentral lists this ribosomal RNA (1242 nucleotides) under Microbacterium testaceum. RNAcentral describes it as "bacterial SSU rRNA". It matches the Rfam family "Bacterial small subunit ribosomal RNA", at positions 71 to 1326 of the family's 1533-position model. The record is from RNAcentral. Lineage: Bacteria; Bacillati; Actinomycetota; Actinomycetes; Micrococcales; Microbacteriaceae.